Gallus gallus (chicken) is the source of this 2094-nucleotide long non-coding RNA. Lineage: Eukaryota; Metazoa; Chordata; Aves; Galliformes; Phasianidae. The record is from Ensembl.
CUGACACACUGGCAGACUCACAUCUGUGGACAUUUUACGUAAAAGACAAGUAAUGGGAGAAGAACAGAAAUGCCAGGCUAAUCACACAUGAUGCCUACUAACAUUUUUUCCCCUGCUUUGCUACGGAGUCCUCCUAAUCUAGAGGAACCCCCCCACCAGUGGAAUUCAACGGCAAAACUCCCAUGUACUCAACAGGACAGGACUCCUGAAACCCAAACCGCUCAGUUGCUGAGGUAUUCCCACCGAAUCCAAAGCUACUCACAUACACUGAGACUUGUUUAAUGGACUACAUUAAAGGACUACUAUGUGUGCUCAACAAAUUGCAGGAUCAAACUGCCUGCCAAAUGACUAACAUAGGACUGCAGCUGCUUGACUUGGCCAAAUUUAGAGUGUACCGAGAAAGGUUGCUAUUAUAUGGCUAUUCUGCCCUGGGGACUCUUGGGGCUCUGGCUCAGAUGCAGCAGAGGAUUAAUAUUGGAUGGCUGAGAUGGCUCCUGCACCAGCCAUGUGCUCUGGACAGCCAGUGGGAAUAUCUCCCUAUGGGAUGGAGCCACAACUGAUGUGUGGGCAACUUGUACCCCAGUCCACCCCAAGGUGGGCAGAAAUUUAUGCGGGUCCACCCACAGUACAUCAAGCUGCAGUGGAAGGGUGGAAUAGCUGCUUUGGUUGCAGAAGGUGUGUUGGAUUGGGGUAUUCAUUCGUCUCAGUUGUUUGUCGUGUAUUUGUCCUUCGGGUAGUGGUUUAUCUUCAGAGGUGCGUGCGGUGUCUGUAAGAUGCAUUACCAAGAUGAAGAGGAGCCAACGCACUCACAGAUGGUGAAGCCAAGAAGGGAAUCGGGAAAACUGAGAUUCAGACAUGAAAAGAGAGCUCUGCCACUCCUAAUUCUGGGAGUAAGGAAGUCUGUGAAAGCGGGAAGCUGGAGAAAGAUGCAUUAUAUGCUGCAUACUUUAUUUUAUUCUGAAAUGGCGCAUGGAGGAGCUACAGAUAAGAUUAAAGGAGAAUCGAAGGUGCCAGGACUAAAGAGGGAUCAGUGCAUAAACCUCCAGUCCAGAAAAUGAUUUGUUACUUUGUUUUUCAGUCCCUUGCUCUGAAAAGAAGGAGGGCGAAGAUGUGAGAGAUCAAAACAGGUGGUGUGGAGGAAUCAGCUCCCAUGGCUUGCGAGUGUGUGAGUGCGGCUGGGACAUGGCAAAGGUGUAAAGAGCCUCUGAGCCAAAAGCGAGGCUGGCAGUGAGCAGCGAGUGCAGAAAUCUUGAGGUGGAGGUGAAGGCUGGAUGGAAAGCCAAGCCAACCCAGUUUGGCAUGGGGAAAAGAUAAUUUACAGAGGGGGAAAGGAAGUGAACAAAAAUGGAAUAAAGCAUGUUGAAGAAUAGAAUGUAAUUUAGCAAAAAAGGGUCUUGCAUUUGUUACGUUUAGUUUGAGAGCAAAGACUCCACGUGUGGGAGUCAGUCCAAGACUGUAAGUUAAAAAAGGGUAAGAAAACAUACCAGCAGGAGUGCUGAAUUGAGAUCAAGAGCAAGCAUCCUUACAGGUCACUGGAAAAUCAGCGUCUGCCAGUCAUUACCUCACUGAGACCACAGAUAGCUGCUAGCCAAAGUGUAAAGAAAAAGCACAUUAAUCUCAAGAUAUCUCUGCAUGUUAAUUCUAGAUCUAUGAUGAUAUACUGAUGAUACCGAGUGAGAUCCUUGGAUCUGAAGAGUAGUGCCUGAGCUGUGAUUCAGGAAUAGCCUGCAGCCAUCUGCUCCAAUGUUUCAUCACACAGGUGUCUGCCCCAGCCCUGUGGCCCAGCUCCCAGUAGGAAAAACAGGAUUUACCCUGUAAGGGGGGACAGAAGAAUGCCUUUAGCUCCACAGAGAAAACACAGUGCGGAGUUUGAGAAGAGACAGCUCAUUUCUAUGGCAGUUGUUGCGCAGUGAAGUUCUUACAGCUCCAGCGGAAGAUGCCAGUGGUGGGGCUGGCUGCUGUUUUCUUACAUCUUGACAAAAGUGCAACUACAAAUCACAAGCUUGGGAAAGCUGAAAAUGAAGCAGAGGCCUGGACUCCAAAUGUUCUUUGUUUUAUGGGGUACAGUGAAACAAUGGUAGAAGCAGUAAGCAG